Mustela lutreola (European mink) is the source of this 854-nucleotide long non-coding RNA. RefSeq lists it as uncharacterized. The record is from RefSeq and is a predicted model, not a curated record. Lineage: Eukaryota; Metazoa; Chordata; Mammalia; Carnivora; Mustelidae. The transcript is spliced from 6 exons.
UGAAGAGUGCGUUUCAUCUCGGUCAGCUCAUUCCGAGCAGAGGUGGUGGCACCAGCGUCGUCGGAGAUCUGCUGCUGCAGGGAGGCGCUCUGCAAGGCCUCCGCGUCCCGGCGGUUCUGCUCGGCCAGGGCUUCGUACUCGGCCCGCAUGUUGUUCAGCAGGACCGUGAGGUCCACCCCGGGUGCCGCGUUCAUCUCCACGUUCACGUUCCCUCCAGCCGCGCACUGCAGCGCCUUCAUUUCCUGAAAAAUUUGACCCCGUUAGGAGCUGACUAUUUUCUACAGGAUGCAUGAGGUGAGAAACUUUGUUUCUUUGGAGGCGGGUGGAUAGAAGCAUUUCAAACAAUCAGCCACACAGAGAAAGUGACGAGUUCCUUCUGGAAUACUGAUGUCGGACAUUGUUGUACCGGUCAUCUGAAAUUCAUUUUUAAAUUUUGGGACCAAGGCGGAUUGUGGAAUCAGGGGAGACCGAGACCUACCUCCUCAUGAUUUUUCUUGAGGUCAUCAAUUAUUGGGAAGUAUCUGCUGUAAUCAUGAUCAAGACCACGGCAAGAACCAGGCCCAAAUUUCUCGUACCAGCCCUUGAUCUUCUGCUCCAGGUCAGCGUUGGCCUCCUCUAGUGCUCGCACAUUUUCCAGUUUAAAAUCAAUGGACUAUAAGCUUGAUAAAGCUCCUUCACCUGAUGUGUAAGUUUCUUCUUGAGGUGGGAGCCAAGACACAAUCAAGCCAAAGAAGAGGAAAAGAAAGGGUUAAUUACUUGCAACAAGCCAGGAAAACAACAUGGAUAUUUCCAGACAACAAAAUUAGGGAAGUUUUAAGGAAGAGUGCCCCACCAUGAGAAGAAACACCCGGAAG